Molecule: ribosomal RNA, 254 nt
Filed under: uncultured bacterium
Lineage: Bacteria
Description: partial 16S ribosomal RNA
Rfam family: Bacterial small subunit ribosomal RNA
Source: RNAcentral
GACAGAGGGUGCAAACGUUGUUCGGAAUUACUGGGCGUAAAGCGCACGUAGGCGGAUCGUUAAGUCGGGGGUGAAAUCCUGGAGCUCAACUCCAGAACUGCCUUCGAUACUGGCGAUCUUGAGUCCGGAAGAGGUGAGUGGAACUCCUAGUGUAGAGGUGGAAUUCGUAGAUAUUAGGAAGAACACCAGUGGCGAAGGCGGCUCACUGGUCCGGUACUGACGCUGAGGUGCGAAAGCGUGGGGAGCAAACAGGG